AUUGAACGCUGGCGGCAUGCUUUACACAUGCAAGUCGAACGGCAGCGAGGAGAAGCUUGCUUCUCUGUCGGCGAGUGGCGAACGGGUGAGUAUAGCAUCGGAACGUGCCAAGUAGUGGGGGAUAACCAAACGAAAGUUUGGCUAAUACCGCGUAAGCUCUAAGGAGGAAAGUAGGGGACCUAAAUAAGGCCUUACGCUAUUUGAUCGGCCGAUGUCGGAUUAGCUAGUUGGUGGGGUAAUGGCUCACCGAGGCAAUGAUCCGUAGCGGGUCUGAGAGGACGAUCCGCCACACUGGGACUGAGACACGGCCCAGACUCCUACGGGAGGCAGCAGUGGGGAAUUUUGGACAAUGGGGGAAACCCUGAUCCAGCCAUGCCGCGUGUAUGAAGAAGGCCUUAGGGUUGUAAAGUACUUUUGUUAGGGAAGAAAAGCUAGUUUUUAAUAAAAAUUAGUGAUGACGGUACCUAAAGAAUAAGCACCGGCUAACUACGUG
This 493-nucleotide ribosomal RNA is filed under the name uncultured bacterium. RNAcentral's name for it is "partial 16S ribosomal RNA". It matches the Rfam family "Bacterial small subunit ribosomal RNA", at positions 30 to 507 of the family's 1533-position model. The record is from RNAcentral.